This 70-nucleotide transfer RNA is filed under the name Trichobilharzia regenti. RNAcentral describes it as "tRNA-Met". The record is from RNAcentral. Lineage: Eukaryota; Metazoa; Platyhelminthes; Trematoda; Strigeidida; Schistosomatidae.
UGGAUAAUAAGUUAAGGUAAACUGAGUGAUUCAUGUUCAUUUAUUGUACGGUUUAAAGGUGCUUAUCCUU